GAGUCUUUGGAGAGUUGUGAGGAGAUAAGUGACAUAAACUGGCAUGUUCUGAAAGAAUCACUCUGGAUGCUGUGUGGAGAAAACACUGAAAAGAAUUCUAGAGUGAAAGUUUCAUGAAUAUAAGAAGCAAGACAAGGAAGUGGCUUAUGCUUAAGGCCUUAAAGGCAACCACUGUGACAAUCCAGCCAUUCUCUGGAGAAUUCAGCAGAAAGCCAGUUGGAAGAGACCAAGAUGCUGAACAGAACAGGAUUUGGUACAGCAGAGAGCAUGCAACUCUGGGAACUAUGGAAAAGGAUUCCAGGCAUCAUAAAGGAAGAAAGGCCAGAAAAGAAGGUCGUGGAUACCAAAAAUUCUGUGGACUACCUAAAAAAGCACCCAGGUUUGAAAUGGAAAUUACAAGCGCAAUAUUACAGAAGUGUGGAUUUUAGUUACAAUGUCUCUAUGAGAAAGUCUAAAAGUUAAACAUAAGCAAAACAACAAAAACAUCUAAAUACCAG
Molecule: long non-coding RNA, 497 nt
Organism: Gorilla gorilla gorilla (western lowland gorilla)
Lineage: Eukaryota; Metazoa; Chordata; Mammalia; Primates; Hominidae
Exons: 4
Source: RefSeq, a predicted model, not a curated record